CCUGGUUCCCAGCGGGUGCUCAGUAAAUGCUGGUAGUAAUUGGUCGGGAGCCAUGUAAGGAAAGCCAGGGAGGGAAAACAUCUGGGCUUUCGGAAGAGCCGUGCACAGCUUCGUCUAGACUGCUGCUUUGGGCAGGCCAUUCCCACCGCCCCGGCUUCCCUACCUCGGCCGAGUCCCCCAGACCCUCCCUGGGGAAGACCGGCCACCCGCGCUGGCAACCGAAGGACUUCCUGAGACCUAGGAGAGAAGCAACAUGGCCCAGCAGGCCUCAGUAGCAUCUCCUUCCCGGCGAAUCUCAGAGGCUUGUAAGGCCUCCGCCUACAAAGGGGCCUGAGGCCUCGGCCUGCGUUCAGUGCGGGAACCUCCUGCACAGCGUCUUACCACGGGACCCCAGGAGUGGAGACCUGGUGGUUCUGCCUUAUGCAGCAGCUGUUCCCUUUUCCGGCUCCAAGUUCAGCUGGGGCUGGUGGGCGCCCUGCUCCCGCCUCCUUCAUUCAGAGAAGUACCAUCCAGAACAUCAUCAGACACCGUAGCAGAGGAAAGGCCACUGGAAUCAGAUGGGCCUGACUUUACAUCUUGACUUUUCUGCUUAAAGCAAGGGGCCUGCCUGACCUGCCCGGUGCAUAGCUAUUGCUCAGAGAGUAUUGACUUCCUGUUGUCCAACUUCGCCAUCUGUUGUGUGUCCAAAUUGGAUGUUCAAGGCUUGGCGCAAAUGCCUGCCUCUCCAUGAGGACUUCUCAACCCACCUCAUUGCUCACCGCUUCUCCAUCAUCCUCGCGCAGAGGGAAGCACAUACUGGGGGCCGUCGUCUGUGCCCCUUCAGUGUCCAGCAAAGCCCCAAGCGCUUAGUAGGUGCUCUGCUCAGUACUCUCGAUGUGACUUGGGGCACUUUACCGUGCCAGACGCAUAGUGCCUGCUGGAUGUUGGGGGCUCCCGCGAGGGGACCAGGGCAGACCCCAUCCCCACCGUCACGCACUUACAUUUGGGUUCUUGCCAAGCGACAAGGUAGAAGGUAAUAAUUUCUGAGCUUUGACCUACUGUGCACACAUAGACCCACUCAACAGAUAUGAGCUGACUACCUACUAUGUGCUGGGCUAGGCGUAGAGGAACAAGAGGCUGGCUCCCCCUUAUGUGGAAGACAGAGUGGAGGUGGGAGGCUGAGAUGAAAACAAUCAGUGUUCCAGGGAAGCAUGUGAGGGGGAUAAUGAAUAUGGAAGGAGGGAGUCCGAGAGAACCUUCAGCAGGCUGAGGCCCGGAGGACCGAUAGGACCU
Molecule: long non-coding RNA, 1272 nt
Organism: Neofelis nebulosa (Clouded leopard)
Lineage: Eukaryota; Metazoa; Chordata; Mammalia; Carnivora; Felidae
Exons: 3
Source: RefSeq, a predicted model, not a curated record